GAUGAACGCUGGCGGCGUGCCUAAUACAUGCAAGUCGAGCGAACGGACGAGAAGCUUGCUUCUCUGAUGUUAGCGGCGGACGGGUGAGUAACACGUGGAUAACCUACCUAUAAGACUGGGCUAACUUCGGGAAACCGGAGCUAAUACCGGAUAAUAUUUUGAACCGCAUGGUUCAAAAAUGAAAGACGGUCUUGCUGUCACUUAUAGAUGGAUCCGCGCUGCAUUAGCUAGUUGGUAAGGUAACGGCUUACCAAGGCAACGAUGCAUAGCCGACCCGAGAGGGUGAUCGGCCACACGGGAACUGAGGCACGGUCCAGACUCCUACGGGAGGCAGCAGUAGGGAAUCUUCCGCAAUGGGCGAAAGCCUGACGGAGCAACGCCGCGUGAGUGAUGAAGGUCUUCGGAUCGUAAAACUCUGUUAUUAGUGAAGAACAUAUGUGUAAGUAACUGUGCACAUCUUGACGGUACCUAAUCAGAAAGCCACGGCUAACUACGUG
RNAcentral lists this ribosomal RNA (497 nucleotides) under uncultured bacterium. RNAcentral's name for it is "partial 16S ribosomal RNA". It matches the Rfam family "Bacterial small subunit ribosomal RNA", at positions 28 to 507 of the family's 1533-position model. The record is from RNAcentral.